UACGUAGGGCGCAAGCGUUGUCCGGAAUUAUUGGGCGUAAAGAGCUCGUAGGCGGUCUGUCGCGUCCGUUGUGAAAACUCGAGGCUCAACCUCGGGCUUGCAGUGGAUACGGGCAGACUAGAGUGCGGUAGGGGAGACUGGAAUUCCUGGUGUAGCGGUGGAAUGCGCAGAUAUCAGGAAGAACACCUAUGGCGAAGGCAGCUCUCUGGGACGGUCCUGACGCUGAGACGCGAAAGCGUGGGGAGCGAACAGG
RNAcentral lists this ribosomal RNA (253 nucleotides) under uncultured bacterium. RNAcentral describes it as "partial 16S ribosomal RNA". It matches the Rfam family "Bacterial small subunit ribosomal RNA", at positions 524 to 776 of the family's 1533-position model. The record is from RNAcentral.